AUGCAUUUGAGAAUAGUUUUCUCCUGUGCUCUGCUUCUAGUGACGGUAGUGUCUCCUCCUUUGGCUAAUGCGUCCAGCAAAGCAAUACAUCAGGUCUACAUUGUGUAUCUGGGGGAGAAACAUGAUGAUCCCUCCAUGGUCACCGCAUCACACCAUGACCUACUAACCUCGGUUUUGGGGAGCAAGGCUGAAGCCUUGAAGUCCAUAGUUUACAGUUACAAGCACGGAUUCUCUGGGUUUGCAGCAAUGCUCACCGAGUCUCAAGCCGAGACACUUGCAGAAUUCCCCCAAGUCAUCAAUGUGAAUCCUAACACUUAUCACCAAGUACACACAACUCGCAGCUGGGACUUCCUUGGCCUUGACUAUAAGAACAACCACCAACAACAACCGAGCCUCCUUAGAAGAGCAAAGUACGGUGAGGAUGUCAUCAUUGGGGUGAUUGAUACAGGCAUAUGGCCUGAAUCACCAAGCUUUGAAGACAACGGAUAUGGAUCUAUACCGGAACGGUGGAGAGGCACAUGCCAAACUGGCCAGUCGUUCGACAACACAAAAUGCAAUCGAAAGAUAAUCGGGGCACGGUGGUACGGCCACGGCAUCAGGGCAGCAGUGCUUAAGAGAGAUAUCAUGUCGCCUAGGGACUCAAACGGCCACGGAACACACGUAGCAUCGAUAAUCGCGGGUAGCCAGGUGAGUGGUGUGAGCUAUGGGGGUAACCUAGCCACAGGCACAACACGCGGCGGAGCGCCACGCGCGCGUCUAGGUAUCUACAAGGUGUGCUGGGGGGACAAGGGCUGCCCUGACAUGGCGAUCCUGGCGGCUAUCGAUGACGCCAUACACGAUGGCGUGGACAUCUUGUCUAUCUCGUUGGGACUGGCCGGCCAUGAGAUCCCAGGGACGUUGCAUGCUGUGCUACGAGGGAUCUCCGUCGUGGUCUCCGGGGGUAAUGAUGGUCCUGUGCCACAAACGGUGUCGAAUGCCGUUCCAUGGGUCACUACGGUGGCCGCUAGCACAAUUGACCGUGCUUUCCCCACUCUAAUAUCUCUCGGAAACAAGGAAAAUCUAGUAGGGCAGUCUCUUUACUAUAAUGCAUCUGUGGUCAGCAACAACUUUGAGGACCUUGUUUAUGGGCGAAGCUGCAACGAGGCAUCACUGGCAUCGAGAAACGUCACUGGUAAAUUUGUGAUGUGCUACGCACCGGAGGCGCCGCCUGGUGCACGCCUCCAUACAGCCAUUUACCAUACGAUGGAUGCCGGUGCCAAGGGAUUAAUCUUCGCGCAGCAUGCCAACAAUGAACUCGACACUCUGGACGAGUGCGACGGCAUCAUGCCUUGUGUGCUCGUGGAUUUCGAGAUCGCGGAGAGAAUCCUAUCAUACUGGGGCAUCACAGGGAAACCGGUGGUGAAGGUCUCGCCUGCCGUGACUGUUGUUGGAGAUGGGGUGUCGGCGCCGAGAGUCGCCUCAUUCUCGUCGAGAGGCCCGAGCCCCUUGUUCCCGGGCACACUCAAGCCUGAUAUAUCUGCACCGGGAGUCAUCAUCCUGGCGGCCAUGAGAGGCUCCUACCAGUUAAUGUCUGGAACGUCUAUGGCAUGUCCUCAUGUCUCUGCGGUCACCGGCCUGCUCAAGUCAGUUCACCCAGACUGGUCGCCUGCCAUGCUCAAGUCUGCUAUCGUCACUACCGCGUCGUUCGUUGAUCUUUUUGGUAUGCCGAUCCAAGCAGAGGGUGCCCCAAGGAAGCUUGCCGACCCCUUCGACUUUGGUGGUGGCAACAUUGACCCAGACAGGGCUGCUGACCCCGGAUUGGUCUAUGACGUGGAUGCAGGAGACUAUAUCAAGUUCGUCAACUGCACCCAACAUGGAUCAUGGCUAGACGACUGCGAGUUAAACCAGCGCAACCUCAACCUCCCGUCAAUUGCUGUGCCAAACCUCAAGGACUAUGUCACGGUCCGACGCACUGUCAUGAACGUCGGGCCAUUGGAAGCAACCUACCGAGUGGAGGUUGAGGCUCCAGCAGGCGUAGCAGUGUCCGUGGAACCAUCUGUGAUUAAUUUCACCAGAGGCGCUAGCAGAAGUAUAACAUUCGUGGUGGCUUUCACUGCAAGGCAGAGAGUGCAAGGUGGGUACGUCUUUGGGAGCUUGAUAUGGAGGUCAAAUGGAAGUGCACACUCAGUGAGAAUUCCAGUUGCAGUACGAACUGUGAUACAAGAUUUUGUUGCAGAUACAUCAUAA
Molecule: ribosomal RNA, 2226 nt
Filed under: Triticum aestivum (bread wheat)
Lineage: Eukaryota; Viridiplantae; Streptophyta; Magnoliopsida; Poales; Poaceae
Description: partial small subunit ribosomal RNA
Source: RNAcentral